GAUGAAGAACGUAGCGAAAUGCGAUAAGUAAUGUGAAUUGCAGAAUUCAGUGAUUCAUCGAAUCUUUGAACGCACCUUGCGCCCUUUGGCUAUUCUGAAGGGCAUGCCUGUUUGAGUAUCGUGAACACCUCAACUCUCAUGGUCUGCCAUGAUGAGCUUGGACUUUGGGGGUCUUGCUGGCCUACUGUCAGCUCCUCUCAAAUGAAUCAGCUUACCAGUGUUUGGUGGCACCACAGGUGUGAUAACUAUCUACGCUUGUGGUUUUCUGCCAGGUAACCUCCAGUGAUGGAGGUUCGCUGGAGCUCACAAAUGUCUCUCCUCAGCGAGGACAGCUUUUUGAACGUUUGAUCUCAAAUCAGGUAGGACUACCCGCUGAACUUAAGCAUAUCAAUAAGCGGAGGA
RNAcentral lists this unclassified non-coding RNA (402 nucleotides) under soil metagenome. RNAcentral describes it as "partial contains 5.8S ribosomal RNA, internal transcribed spacer 2, and large subunit ribosomal RNA". The stretch from base 1 to 121 matches the Rfam family "5.8S ribosomal RNA", at positions 35 to 154 of the family's 154-position model. The record is from RNAcentral.